UUUGUUAUCACUAUUUUACAGAAGGUACUGAAGGGAUCUUGCUAAAAUUUCAUAUGUAGGUUCCCCUUGGUCCCUCGUAUUGCAUUUUGGGACCAAUCUAAAAACAACAUGGCCGACAGACAGCCAUUAUUCCCUAAAUCUCAAAUUUCAUAUAUAAGUUCCCCAUGUUUGAAAAGUACUGGAUGGAUGUUUCUGAAUUUACACAGAUUAGUAAGGGGAAGGGAAAAAUAGAGAGAAGAUCAAUCUGACAUGGAACCUAUAAAGGUUAUUCAAUGGUGGGCGCCACGAUCCCUCUGGGAUUUCUAGUUCAGGUUAGGGGUUUGUUAAGGAGUUGAAUGUCUAAGAAAUUAUUAAGUUAUGCCGUAUAUUUUACCAAGUGAAAAUUAUUAUGACCAUCUGCAGAUAAAUCAUUGUAUCAUAAUUAUAUUAGAACCAUAACUUCAUAUCAAUAUUUCAUUGGCCUUUUUUUACAUUAAAAAGAAAUACUGGGCAUUUUUUUUAACUCAUUCGGGUUUAGGGGUUUGUUGGUCCAGGAGUUAAAUUGCUAAGAAAUUAUUGAAUUAUUCCAUAUAUUUUAACACAUGUCUAUAAUAUGCUAGAACAUUCAUCAAUUCAUUUGGAGAACAAAGUCAUCAGGCUCUUAAUAUGAUUGUGUACUAAUAAUUAAAUAAAGAUAUUAUCUGGUCAAUACCAUAUACCGGGUAUGUACAAAUCAUCAGUUUUGAUUGAAUUUUUGCAGUGUUCUUUACUAGUUUAGUUUCACAAUCAUAAUUAGAUUGAAUUUUAAGAAAAUGAUUUGUGUGACUAUGAGAUUAAAUUUGUAUUGAUACUGCCUACUUGAACUAAUCUAGCCAUGUGCUCUGUCCUAUACAUAUACCCAUGUGUUUCAGUAGUAAGUUCACAGUAAUCACAUCAUUGUUGUGACACAAGAAUAACUCGUUCAUUGAUCUCCUGAACCAGUAUUGAUGAGUGGUAGACAAGUUCAUCAUAACUUUGGUACCAUGGUAACAACUUGUUCACUGACCUGAACAAGUAUUGAUGAGUGGUAAACAGGUUCAUCAUAAUCUUGGUACCAUGGUAACAACUCGUUCACUUAUCUCAUGAACCAGUAGAGAUGGAUGGUAGACAGGUUCAUCAUAACUUUGGUACCAUUGUAACAACUCGUUCACUGACCUAUUGAUGAGUGGUUAACAGGUUCAUCAUAGCCUUGGUACCAUGGUAACAACUCGUUCACAGAUCUGAACCAGGAACCAGUAGUGAUUGAUGGUAGACAGGUUCAUCACUACUCUUGGUACCAUGGUAGCAACUGGUUCAUUAUCAUCAAUGGUACCAUACCAACAAGUCAAUUACCGAUCUCCUAAUCCAGUAAAGUUAAGGGUAGAUUCUACCCCCAUGUCAACAGCAAGUAAAAUUGUAGUUAAUUGUUGUUGACUUAACUUUAAGGAUAUUCAAAUGAAAUUUUAUGUGAGAAUAUGUUAUACACGUGAAUUAAAUCAUAUAUAAUUUGAAAUGAUAUGUAAAUGGCGUACUUAGUUAUAUUGAGUACAGUGAUAAUAUAUAGGUAAAAAGAACACUUUUGUAUUAAGGUCUGUCAAUACAUAGCAUGUAUGUAUACUGGCAGUUUUGUUUACUGAUUAUAUUAAUCUUAGACUGUAAUACGAACCCUCAUCAGUCAAUAAAUGGAUGUGUCAAAUGUU
Long non-coding RNA from Pecten maximus, 1697 nucleotides. RefSeq lists it as uncharacterized. The record is from RefSeq and is a predicted model, not a curated record. NCBI's taxonomy places the organism in Eukaryota, Metazoa, Mollusca, Bivalvia, Pectinida, Pectinidae. The transcript has 2 exons.